AUGGAGUCACAGACUCAGGUCCUCAUAUCCCUGAUGCUUUGGGUGUAUGGUACCUGUGCAGACAUCGUGAUGACCCAGUCUCCAUCCUCCCUGGUUGUGUCAGCAGGAGAGAAGGUCACCAUUAGCUGCAAAUCCAGUCAGAGCCUUACUUCAGGCAGCUCAAACUACUUGUCUUGGUACCAGCAGAAACCAGGGCAGUCCCCUAAGCUGCUGAUCUACUGGGCAUCCACUAGGCACACUGGGGUCCCUGAUCGCUUCAAAGGCAGUGGAUCUGGCACAGAUUUCACUCUCUCAAUCAGCAGUGUGCAGGCUGAAGACCUGGCAGUUUAUUACUGUAUGCAGUAUUACAAAACUCCCAUCUUUCUUAGUUUGAAGCUUGUCAGCAAGGAAAACUGGGCUGACCAAGCAGCUGGAUGUUUGCUGCUGUUAGAGCUACUUAACCAUCAAGGUCAUCUGAGAUCUAAGGAGGAUGAAUUUCAGUAG
This is a non-coding RNA of Psammomys obesus (fat sand rat), 483 nucleotides long. The record is from the annotation of a RefSeq genome assembly. Lineage: Eukaryota; Metazoa; Chordata; Mammalia; Rodentia; Muridae.